RNAcentral lists this ribosomal RNA (279 nucleotides) under uncultured bacterium. RNAcentral describes it as "partial 16S ribosomal RNA". It matches the Rfam family "Bacterial small subunit ribosomal RNA", at positions 506 to 784 of the family's 1533-position model. The record is from RNAcentral.
UGCCAGCCGCCGCGGUAAUACGGAAGGGGCUAGCGUUGUUCGGAAUUACUGGGCGUAAAGAGCGCGUAGGCGGCUCUUCAAGUUAGGCGUGAAAGGCCUGGGCUCAACCUGGGAACUGCGUUUAAUACUGGAGAGCUUGAGUCCGGGAGAGGGUGGUGGAAUUCCCAGUGUAGAGGUGAAAUUCGUAGAUAUUGGGAGGAACACCAGUGGCGAAGGCGGCCACCUGGCCCGGAACUGACGCUGAGGCGCGAAAGCGUGGGGAGCAAACAGGAUUAGAUA